Non-coding RNA from Odocoileus virginianus texanus, 567 nucleotides. NCBI's taxonomy places the organism in Eukaryota, Metazoa, Chordata, Mammalia, Artiodactyla, Cervidae. The record is from RefSeq and is a predicted model, not a curated record.
AAGAUCCCUGGCUGCCCCCUGGAUCCGAGUUAAUUGCUCUUGGGACAAGCUUUGCAGCCCUCCAGAGGUGGAUUCAUUACUGACUGAACUAUCAGGGAAGCCUUACAGAAGACUGUCUUCACCUGCCUUUGAAGGUCAGGACAACAGACACUCCUAACCCCAGAGAGAGGACAAAGGUGAAGAUGGUAAGGUGUGGCUGACUCCUGCUCCUGAGCCUUGGCCCUUCUGUAGCCCCAGGGCUGUGGCUGAGACCCUCACAUUCUGGGGAGAGAGAGAAAAGCCCCGGGGUUUAGAACCUCACAAAGAAGAGUGCAGGAAGCUUCGAACACCAGGGGAACUGUGCACUUUCAAAGCUGAUGGUGGGAUGGUGCCUCUGCGAUCAACAGGGUCGAUGCAGGGCACAGGUGAGAAUGGAAAAACAGCUGCCGAGGGAAACAGAGAGCUUCUCAAGUCACCCCUGUCCCCCUUUACCGCACCAUCAGUCUUUCGACAAAACCCGAGCUUCCGGUGGUGGCCCCUCCACUCUGGUGGAGACCCCUCCACUCUGGUGGAGACUGAUCGCUGUGA